UGCGCGGUAGCUCAGCUGGCAGAGCGCCACACUGUUAAUGUGGAUGUCCCUGGUUCGAGCCCAGGUCGCGCAGCCA
Molecule: transfer RNA, 76 nt
Filed under: Spirulinaceae cyanobacterium RM2_2_10
Lineage: Bacteria; Bacillati; Cyanobacteriota; Cyanophyceae; Spirulinales; Spirulinaceae
Description: tRNA-Asn
Rfam family: tRNA
About the family: Transfer RNA (tRNA) molecules are approximately 80 nucleotides in length. Their secondary structure includes four short double-helical elements and three loops (D, anti-codon, and T loops). Further hydrogen bonds mediate the characteristic L-shaped molecular structure. tRNAs have two regions of fundamental functional importance: the anti-codon, which is responsible for specific mRNA codon recognition, and the 3' end, to which the tRNAs corresponding amino acid is attached (by aminoacyl-tRNA synthetases). tRNAs cope with the degeneracy of the genetic code in two manners: having more than one tRNA (with a specific anti-codon) for a particular amino acid; and 'wobble' base-pairing, i.e. permitting non-standard base-pairing at the 3rd anti-codon position.
Source: RNAcentral